Oncorhynchus keta (chum salmon) is the source of this 599-nucleotide long non-coding RNA. RefSeq lists it as uncharacterized. Lineage: Eukaryota; Metazoa; Chordata; Actinopteri; Salmoniformes; Salmonidae. The record is from RefSeq and is a predicted model, not a curated record. The transcript has 4 exons.
GUGGCCAACUAGUCAGAAUCCUCUGUGUUCUCCUACGAGAACCAAGAACAGUUGGUUCUUAGAAUAGAGGAUGAGGUGGCCAACUAGUCAGAAUCCUCUGUGUUCUCCUACGAGAACCAAGAACAGUUGGUUCUUAGAAUAGAGGAUGAGGUGGCCAACUAGUCAGAAUCCUCUGUGUUCUCCUACGAGAACCAAGAACAGUUGGUUCUUAGAAUAGAGGAUGAGGUGGCCAACUAGUCAGAAUCCUCUGUGUUCUCCUACGAGAACCAAGAACAGUUGGUUCUUAGAAUAGAGGAUGAGGUGGCCAACUAGUCAGAAUCCUCUGUGUUCUCCUACGAGUACCAAGAACAGUUGGUUCUUAGAAUAGAGGAUGAGGUGGCCAACUAGUCAGAGUCCUCUGUGUUCUCCUACGAGAACCAAGAACAGUUGGUUCUUAGAAUAGAGGAUGAGGAGAGACUUUGUUCGGAACAGACAAGAUGUGCACAGCCGUGGUGAAUUAGGUACAGAUUUAUGUGAAAACAGCAAUUUACACAACCAGAGUAACACUAUUGUACACACCUAUCAUUUAUAUUAACCUUAAAGUAAUGCUACUACAUAUU